Molecule: long non-coding RNA, 4645 nt
Organism: Mizuhopecten yessoensis (Yesso scallop)
Lineage: Eukaryota; Metazoa; Mollusca; Bivalvia; Pectinida; Pectinidae
Exons: 3
Source: RefSeq, a predicted model, not a curated record
AUACCACAGGAAUAUUGGUUCACAGCGCCAUAGUAACAGAAUUCAUUUAUAUCUUAAUUAGAACUGAAUAAAAGUCCACUGAUAAAAGAAACAGAAAUGGAAUUGAAUGACAUCUCUAUCAUUUUUUUUACUACAAAACUGAUUUAUGAAUUCUACAUGAAAUUGGACAGCGAAGUAAGUAAACUGGGAGGAAUUUUCAAAAACAGAGUCACCUUACAUAGAAAAGAUAAUCUACUUUGUAUCAACAAAAUCUUAGCUUGGUUGUUCAAAGCCUAAUUUCUGUCCACAAAUCACCUCACAGAAUCACAGAAACUUUUAAAUGAUGAUAAUUAUUUUAGAAAUUUUAUUUUUGUUUCAAUCAGGUAAUAAUUGGCUAUAGGAAAAGUUAUUUAAAAACAGUUUAAAUGUAUGAACUAUUGAUUAAAUAAGGAAAUAUAACAAAUAUUUCCCCUGUAGUCAAAAAUAAAAAUAAAUAUUAUUAAAGAACUGCCUUGCAUACUGUUGUGUGCAUAUUAUACCGUACACUAACUGCAAUAAGCAUGGGGAGAAUUCAGGACUCAUAAAAAAACACAAAAUUUACAGAAUUUUUUCCAUUUCUAUUUUUACUCUAAAAUGAAAUGGAUAUUGAUGUAACCUUGAAGUCUUGAACUUUCCCCACACAAAUAUUUAAAGUGCAUGAUUCUAGCUGCUGUUUUUCCUCAUUACCAAUAAAUCAAAUCCAAACUAAUCUGAAAAGGUUGCACAAGCACAGCACACUACAGUUUUAACAAACUACAACACCCUCAAGGGUAUACUAGAAUGCUUUACAGCUGUUCAACCCUUGACCCCAGACUUUGACCUUGAACUUGGGAUGAGGAUCCUGAAAAUGAUACAUGUACCACAUCUAAAUCCAGAAUGUCUAUAAAUUUAAGUUUCAUUAAAUGACGUUAAUUGUUAAAAGUUAAUGUGAUGAAGAAAAUAGUAAACAAAUCACUUCAUAAAAUGGCAUAUUAAACUGCAACACAGCCAUCUUUAAUUAAGAUUUUCUCAAAGGUUUUACACUUAUAGAAGUUAGACAUUUAAUUCCAAUAGUGUUGGUCAAUUUCAAAAACAUCUUUACAUGCAAAUAUUGAUGCAAGUCUGGGAUGGGGAAAGAUUUAAAAAUCCUCCACACAAUGCAGUCCAACCUGUACUAAGAGACAAUCCUUUUUAAGUCCAUAAAGAGAUCUGUCAAUACAGGUUCACUUCACAAUGUAACGUCACGCUACCACAAUUGGUCCACUACCCAAAUUGGUACACGGUCAGAAAAUGGUUCGAAUAGUACUUAAACAUUGUAUUUGAGCAUUUUCACACGACAGUAUAUAACAUAAGCGAUAUUUAUCAGCAUUUCCACAGAAUAGUUUGGUUUUUAGGAAUAUUUUAAGAGUACACGAUUGUUUCAAAUAAAAUGUAUCAGAAAACCAGUCGAUUUCUGUUUUUUAUAACUGGAUAAUAUGAAAGGGGGGUAUAUAUGCAGUAUGGUAUUUAUAAAAGCAACUUAUUUUGUUGCAAUCGGCACAUCAAUUAAUAGAAAUAAAAACAAAUUUCAUAGCCUAUGAUAUGGUGUAUCAAUUUGGGUACUUAUCAUGGCCGCAAAAAUGGGACGACAUGUCUCACGAGUUUAGCCUUUUAUUUUCAGAAACAAAUCAAUGAGAAUCAAAACUUUCCCUGAAAAUGAACUACAAUUGGUAGUCUUUGUCAAGGGUCAAGAAACAUUCAAGAUACAAAAUCUGAAUUUUUAAAUAUCGCUGAAAAACUCAAAAUUGUACCAAUUGUGGUAGCUUGACGUUAAUCACUACGAUGGGAUCAUUAAAAUUGGCUUCUUCACACAGGUGGUCACUUAAUGGAAGUGGUCACUUAAUGGAAGUGGUCUCUUAAUACAGGUUCAAUUCACCAUCAAAUCACAACCAGUGAGAUCAUCCAAAGUGGCCUCUAAACACAAGUGGUCACUUAAUGGAGGUGGUCUCUUAAUACAGGUUCAAUUCACCAUCAAAUCACAACCAGUGAGAUCAUCCAAAGUGGCCUCUAAACACAAGUGGUCACUUAAUGGAGGGGGUCUCUUAAUACAGGUUCAAUUCACCAUCAAAUCACAACCAGUGAGAGCAUCCAAAGUGGCCUCUAAACACAGGUGGUCACUUAAUGGAGGUGGUCACUUAAUACAUGUUCAAUUCAUCAUCAAAUCACAACCAAAGGGAACAUCCAAAGUGGCCUCUAAACACAGGUGGUGACUUAAUACAUGUUCAAUUCACCAUCAAAUCACAACCAGUGAGAUUCAUCCAAAGUGGCCUCUAAACACAGGUGGUCACCUAAUGGAGGUGGUCACUUAAUACAUGUUCAAUUCCCCAUCAAAUCACAACCAAAGGGAACAUCCAAAGUGGCCCCUAAACACAGGUGGUCACUUAAUAGAGGUGGUCACUUAAUGGAUGUGGUCACUCAAUACAUGUUCAAUUCACCAUCAAAUCACAACCAAAGGGAACAUCCAAAGUGGCCUCUAAACACAGGUGGUCACUUAAUGGAAGUGGUCUCUUAAUACAGGCUCAAUUCACCAUCAAAUCACAACCAGUGAGAGCAUCCAAAGUGGCCCCUUAACACAGGUGAUCACUUAAUGGAAGUGGUCUCUUAAUACAGGCUCAUUUUACCAUCAAAUCACAACCAGUGAGAGCAUCCAAAGUGGUCUCUAAACACAGGUGGUCACUUAAUGUAGGUGGUCACUUAAUACAGGUUCAAUUCACCAUCAAAUCACAACCAAAGGGAACAUCCAAAGUGGCCCCUAAAUACAGGUGGUCACUUAAUGGAGGUGGUCACUUAAUGGAGGUAGUUGUAUGAGUAGGUUUGACAGUGUUAGAAUAAAUAGGUGGAGUGAUUUAUUAAGGUAUGGAUGGAGUCUUAUUUUUUUAAUCUGAAGGAAUCACAUAGAUGAAGACAUGAAACACUAUUAUAACUAGUCAAUGUUAUGUUCUUGAGAACAACCUCAUCAAGACAACUAAUCAGUAAUUCAGACACAAAUUAUGGACCGGCAAACUACUAGAAUUAGAAUGCAAUCACAGGUCCUUACUGCAUAGUCACAGAGGUUAGUUAGUGUAAGAAUGGCAGAUUUCAACAACCGAUGUAUCCUCCAAAAAAGUUCAUUUUAUUGAUGACACUUCCCAGAUACAUCAAGUGGACACCAUGCUGGAUCAGUUUACUAUCACCAGCCAAAGGUUAUACAAAUGAAGGAUAUAAAGCCCACUACAGACGAAACACUAAGGAACUCCACCGUUUGGGGUUUUCAGAGGUUACCUCCCCUAAUUCACUCUGGAUAUAACUAAAGCACAACAGGGUCAGAGUACUACCAAUGACAAGGUAGUUCAGAUGGUUUGAGCAAAGGAUUCAUCUCCUGGUCUGGCACUUUUAUACUCAAUGAUACCACAGAUAUGAUUUAUUACAGCUAUAAUCAUUAUAAAAAUAGUUUCUAAUGCAUAACAAGUGGAGUCAUUGCAUAAAUAAUGUUUAGUAUCUUAAACAAAUCGUAUCAUGCUGUUGAUUUUAUUUCACCACUUGAACAGCUAAAAUAUUUAUAUUUUCAGUAAAUUGAUAUUAUAAUCUAGUCAUGAGGAAUAUUAGUGAUAUAUAUGGAUACAAAAAUCUGUGUUGAUAUAGUUUGUGUUAUAUCAGUAUUACAAUAAUAUAUAUAACGGAAUAUUGGAGAGAGGCAGAGAACCCAGGAUAUAACCAUAGUAGAUUACUUUGUUAGAAUCCGUGCAGUUAAUACAACAUAUCACAACACCCUACACCGACAAAUCAUCGGGUUGUCAUGCUUGUGUCUCCGUAUCACUUCUCAGAAUAAUUCCUUUCUUUAACACAAUAUUAUAUCCCCUCCUGCCUUUAUCAUUAAACUGCUAUGAUAAAUUCAUCUACAGACCAUUUUUUCUUUAACUACUCAGAGUUUAACAGCAGCUGGUUUGUUUUGCAAAUUUUAUCUGCACUUGUAGAAAUAUCUAACAUCUUAACGCAAUCAUCCACAUCUUAGUACUCUGACUACACAGAAAACCAGUAGCUACGUCAGACAGACAUGCUAAUAUCUUUCAAAUAUGCUAUUUUAGUCAUGAUUACUAUUAUAUUUAUCGAGAUACUUUUAAAUAAAAAAACACUUCAUCUUUAUGUAUUAUUAAAUGGUAGCUAUGUAACACUUUAACCUGGUCUGCAGCUGUAGUUUUAUUUAACAUGAACAGUUUCUAGUGCAAAACCAAAUUUCUUCAAACUCCAUGAAAUAAGCUGUCAUAUACUGCAUAAAAAACUGUUAUUUUUUCCAAUCAGCUCAACUAUCAUCUGCAAGUAUAUUUACUUAAUACUAUUUCACGAAUUACUGGGAAAAUUAAAUCCUAUUUCACCAAUCACCAGGACUGUUAAAUCCUAUUUCACUAAUCACCAGGACUGUUAAAUCCUAUUUCGCCAAUCACCAGGACUGUUAAAACCUAUUUCGCCAAACCCCAGGUACAUUGUAUAUUAAGAUACUAUUCCACCAUGAUACAUUUCACCAACCACCAGGAAUAUUAAGAUACUAUUUCACCACCCAGCAGAAGACACCACACGGUCACAUUAUACUGACAACAGGCGAACCAGAUGGAGCGCUUUAAAGUUUCCACAU